CGGGAAUCUUGGGCAAUGGGCGAAAGCCUGACCCAGCAACGCCGCGUGAGGGAUGAAGGCCUUCGGGUCGUAAACCUCUGUCGGGAGGGAAGAAGUGGUCGUCGGCCAAUACCCGGCGGCCUUGACGGUACCU
Molecule: ribosomal RNA, 133 nt
Filed under: uncultured bacterium
Lineage: Bacteria
Description: partial 16S ribosomal RNA
Rfam family: Bacterial small subunit ribosomal RNA
Source: RNAcentral